AAAAAAAUCAAAUAAUCGAAAAACAGGAGAUAGGUGUCUAGCAGACUCUUAACAGUUUCGAUAAUCAUAAGCAUGAGCUGUUAACCAGAUAUGAAGUUGAAUUAGAAAUGUUUGAACAGAACUAUAUGUAGAUUCGUUCAACAAAACAAUUUCGACAAACAAAAAGUAUGUUUAUGAGAAACCUAAAAACGCACACACAAUACAACGC
RNAcentral lists this long non-coding RNA (208 nucleotides) under Mytilus galloprovincialis (Mediterranean mussel). Lineage: Eukaryota; Metazoa; Mollusca; Bivalvia; Mytilida; Mytilidae. The record is from RNAcentral.